Molecule: long non-coding RNA, 284 nt
Filed under: Oryctolagus cuniculus (rabbit)
Lineage: Eukaryota; Metazoa; Chordata; Mammalia; Lagomorpha; Leporidae
Description: lncRNA (ENSOCUG00000032038.1)
Source: RNAcentral
AGUUCAGUGAAUUUGCACUAUCAUAAUAAAGGGAUUUAGAAAUUUUAAUUAUAUUUAGUUUUUAAAUACUUUGAUCUUGUAGUUUUGCAGUCCUGGGGAAAAAUGUGUUUUGCUUAACUUUUCAAGUAAAUAAAAUUAAAAACAAAGCAAAAAAAAAAAAAAAAACAAAAACAAAACCACAACAUAAAUAAUGCCCAUUUUACAGGUGACAUUUUAAACAAUGAAAACACCAACGGCUUUGACUGACAACUGGGGCAUUGGUCCAUAAAAACCCUUUCUAAAAA